This 438-nucleotide long non-coding RNA is filed under the name Monodelphis domestica (gray short-tailed opossum). RNAcentral describes it as "lncRNA (ENSMODG00000046919.1)". Lineage: Eukaryota; Metazoa; Chordata; Mammalia; Didelphimorphia; Didelphidae. The record is from RNAcentral.
CACAGACUAUGGCACUGACAUUGCUGAGAAGGCACCUGACACUUACUGGAGAUUUGAACUAGCUGAGUUUCAGGGCCCAAGACUUCCAGCUGAGAGCAUGGGAUGGCUGUCUACCCAUCUGUGCAGACAACUGAAUGGAGCUGAGUGAGUAAUAAGCUAAAAGCAAAAGCAUACAUGAAAUUGAAAAACAACAGACACCAAGAAAUGUCACUUCCAAGUCAUAACCUACAUCUUCAGUCUGUGAGCUCCUUCAAGCAGUGAAGCUGUCUGGUACAAAAGGAGUCUGCAGGAGGACAGAGAGGAGGCUGAAGGCAUCAUAUCAGGACCCACAAGAUUUGAAAGACUUAAGACUUUGGGGAAAUGGGGUCCUGUUUUGAUUGUUAGUUUUGCCAAAGGUAGACUGCCUGCCUUUCUGGCUCAAAUGUCAGCAUGCUGGUG